GAUGAACGCUGGCGGCGUGCCUAACACAUGCAAGUCGAACGGUCCGCAAGGACAGUGGCGCACGGGUGAGGAACACGUAGCUGACCUGCCUCAGAGAGCGGGAUAACGGGUCGAAAGACCUGCUAAUACCGCAUAAGCUCACGGUGUUUGGAAGGCUGUGAGAAAAGGAGCAAUCCGCUUUGAGAGGGGGCUGCGACCCAUCAGGUAGUUGGUAAGGUAACGGCUACCAAGCCGACGACGGGUAACGGGUCUGAGAGGAUGAUCCGUCACACUGGGACUGAGACACGGCCCAGACUCCUACGGGAGGCAGCAGUGAGGAAUAUUGCGCAAUGGGCGAAAGCCUGACGCAGCGACGCCGCGUGGGGA
Molecule: ribosomal RNA, 366 nt
Filed under: uncultured bacterium
Lineage: Bacteria
Description: bacterial SSU rRNA
Rfam family: Bacterial small subunit ribosomal RNA
Source: RNAcentral